RNAcentral lists this ribosomal RNA (239 nucleotides) under uncultured Staphylococcus sp. Its description in RNAcentral is "partial 16S ribosomal RNA". It matches the Rfam family "Bacterial small subunit ribosomal RNA", at positions 99 to 334 of the family's 1533-position model. The record is from RNAcentral. Lineage: Bacteria; Bacillati; Bacillota; Bacilli; Caryophanales; Staphylococcaceae.
CGGACGGGUGAGUAACACGUGGAUAACCUACCUAUAAGACUGGGAUAACUUCGGGAAACCGGAGCUAAUACCGGAUAAUAUAUUGAACCGCAUGGUUCAAUAGUGAAAGACGGUUUUGCUGUCACUUAUAGAUGGAUCCGCGCGCAUUAGCUAGUUGGUAAGGUAACGGCUUACCAAGGCAACGAUGCGUAGCCGACCUGAGAGGGUGAUCGGCCACACUGGAAUGAGACACGGUCCAG